RNAcentral lists this ribosomal RNA (116 nucleotides) under Pteropus alecto (black flying fox). The record is from RNAcentral. Lineage: Eukaryota; Metazoa; Chordata; Mammalia; Chiroptera; Pteropodidae.
GUCUACGGCCACGCUACUCUGAACAAGCCCAAUCCCAGAUCUCAGAAGCUAAGCAGGGUCAGGCCUGGUUAGUACUUGGAUGGGAGAACACCUAGGAAGACCAGGUGCUAUAGGCG